UCCGGUAUGGUGUAACGGCUAACAUUGCCGCCUUUCAAGUUGAAAGACGAGAACGCGGCAGCUCGGGGUUCGAUUCCCCGUACCGGAA
Amanita rubescens is the source of this 88-nucleotide non-coding RNA. The record is from the annotation of a GenBank genome assembly. Lineage: Eukaryota; Fungi; Basidiomycota; Agaricomycetes; Agaricales; Amanitaceae.